ACACCAUGAGUAAAGCACACCCUCCCAAGCUAAAAAAAUUUAUGGACAAGAAGUUGUCAUUGAAAUUAAAUGGUGGCAGACAUGUCCAAGGAAUAUUGCGGGGAUUUGAUCCCUUUGUGAAUCUUGUGAUAGAUGAAUGUGUGGAGAUGGCAACUAGUGAGCAACAGAACAAUAUUGGAAUGGUGGUAAUACGAGGAAAUAGUAUCUUCAUGUUAGAAGCUUUGGAACGAGUUUAAAUGAUGACAGUUCAGCAGAGAAAUCCACGUGCCCUCUCCAAAGGGCCUGUUUAACUAUGAAGUAAAAAUUGUGUUGUGUACAUUUUCAUAUUAACCUUUUUGUUAAAUAAGCUUUUGUAAUAGUCAAAAAAA
Non-coding RNA from Castor canadensis (American beaver), 368 nucleotides. Lineage: Eukaryota; Metazoa; Chordata; Mammalia; Rodentia; Castoridae. The record is from RefSeq and is a predicted model, not a curated record.